Molecule: ribosomal RNA, 1432 nt
Filed under: metagenome
Description: bacterial SSU rRNA
Rfam family: Bacterial small subunit ribosomal RNA
Source: RNAcentral
AGAGUUUGAUCAUGGCUCAGGAUGAACGCUGGCGGCGUGCCUUAUGCAUGCAAGUCGAACGGUUUUUGCUUUUUGCAAAAACAGUGGCGGACGGGUGAGUACAAGCAAGGAACGUACCCUAAACUUAGGUAUAGCUCAUCGAAAGGUGGGGUAAUCCCUAAUGUGACCUACGGGUUAAAGGGCAUAACUUCCCGGUUUAGGAGCGGCCUUGUGCUUAUCAGCUUGUUGGUGGGGUAAUGGCCUACCAAGGCGAUGACGAGUAGGGGGUGUGAGAGCAUGUCCCCCCACAAUGGCACUGAGACACGGGCCAUACAUCUACGGAUGGCAGCAACAGGGAAUAGUUGGCAAUGGGCGAAAGCCUGACCACGCGACGCCGCGUGAAGGAUGAAGCCUCUCGGGGUGUAAACUUCUUUUGCCAAGUCAUCGAGGCUUGGCGAAUAAGCGCCUACAAACUACGUGCCAGCAGUCGCGGUAAUACGUAGGGCGCAAGCGUUAUCCGGAUUUAUUGGGCGUAAAGGGUAGCGUAGGCUGUGUAUUGCAUCGUACUUGAAAGCUCGGGGCUUAACCCCGGUGUUGAGUGCGAGAUGGGUACACUAGAGGAGAAGAGAGGGAAGGGGAACUGAUGGUGGAGCGGUGAAAUGCGUUGAGAUCAUCAGGAACACCAAAGGCGAAGGCACCUUCCUGGAUUCUUUCUGACGCUGAGGCACGAAAGCUAGGGUAGCGAAGCAGAUUAGAGACCUGCGUAGUCCUAGCCCUAAACGCAUGUCUGCUAGUUGUCCGCAUCUAAUGUGGUUGACGUAAGCUAACGCGUUAAGCAGACCGCCUGGGGAGUACGACCGCAAGGUUAAAACUCAAAGGAAUUGACGGGGACCCGCACAACCAGUGGAGCGUGUGGUUUAAUUCGAGACAAAGCGAAAAACCUUACCAGGUCUUGACAUUCUACUGCGAAUCCGCAGAAACGCGGACGUCCUUCGAGGGAGUAGAACAGCAGCUGCAUGGCUGUCGUCAGCUCGUGCCGUGAGGUGUUCCCUUAAGUGGGCUAACGAGCGCAACCCAUAUCCAAUGUUAUAAGUGUCAUUGGAGACUGCCCACGUCAAACGUGGGAGGAAGGAGUGGAUGACGUCAAGUCAGCACGGCGCUUAUGACCUGGGAUACACACACCCUACAAUGGCGAAAAACAAUGAGUAGCCAAGCCGUAAGGCUGAGCAAAUCUCUAGUAAAUUUCGUCUCAGUUCGAAUUGAGGUCUGCAACUCGACCUCAUGAAGCCGGAAUUGGUAGUAAUCGCAGAUCAGCAGGCUGCGGUGAAUACGUUCUCGGGUCUUGUACACACCGCCCGUCAAGCCAACAAAGUUGAGGGUGGCCGAAGAGCCGCGUCUUAAUUGCGCGGAGCUAAGCCAAAUUCAGCGAUGGGGACUAAGUCGUAACAAGGUA